RNAcentral lists this ribosomal RNA (540 nucleotides) under Penicillium commune. RNAcentral's name for it is "eukaryotic LSU rRNA". The stretch from base 161 to 313 matches the Rfam family "5.8S ribosomal RNA". The record is from RNAcentral. Lineage: Eukaryota; Fungi; Ascomycota; Eurotiomycetes; Eurotiales; Aspergillaceae.
UCUGGGUCACCUCCCACCCGUGUUUAUUUUACCUUGUUGCUUCGGCGGGCCCGCCUUAACUGGCCGCCGGGGGGCUUACGCCCCCGGGCCCGCGCCCGCCGAAGACACCCUCGAACUCUGUCUGAAGAUUGUAGUCUGAGUGAAAAUAUAAAUUAUUUAAAACUUUCAACAACGGAUCUCUUGGUUCCGGCAUCGAUGAAGAACGCAGCGAAAUGCGAUACGUAAUGUGAAUUGCAAAUUCAGUGAAUCAUCGAGUCUUUGAACGCACAUUGCGCCCCCUGGUAUUCCGGGGGGCAUGCCUGUCCGAGCGUCAUUUCUGCCCUCAAGCACGGCUUGUGUGUUGGGCCCCGUCCUCCGAUCCCGGGGGACGGGCCCGAAAGGCAGCGGCGGCACCGCGUCCGGUCCUCGAGCGUAUGGGGCUUUGUCACCCGCUCUGUAGGCCCGGCCGGCGCUUGCCGAUCAACCCAAAUUUUUAUCCAGGUUGACCUCGGAUCAGGUAGGGAUACCCGCUGAACUUAAGCAUAUCAAUAAGAGGAGGAA